This 146-nucleotide non-coding RNA is filed under the name Lepisosteus oculatus (spotted gar). Its description in RNAcentral is "Eukaryotic large subunit ribosomal RNA". It matches the Rfam family "Eukaryotic large subunit ribosomal RNA", at positions 3011 to 3157 of the family's 3401-position model. Lineage: Eukaryota; Metazoa; Chordata; Actinopteri; Semionotiformes; Lepisosteidae. The record is from Rfam by way of RNAcentral.
UUGCAAUACAAAACUAGUUCAGUACGAGAGGAACUGAUGGUUCAGACAUUUUGUUCUAUGUUUGGCUGAGAUGCUAAUGGUAUGAAGUUACCAUCUGUAGGAUUAUGACUGAAUGCUUCUAAAUCAGAAUCUCCCAUUAACGGUAA